GAAGCGGGCCGGACGGCCGAUCGAUCCGACGGGAUCGGUAGGAAAGUCCGGACUCCACAGGGCAGGGCGCCAGGUAACGCCUGGGCGUCUCGUCCCGGGGGACCCGGGGCGGGGCGACGGAAAGUGCAACAGAGAGCAGACCGCCCCGAUUCCGUUCGGGGUAAGGGUGAAACGGUGGGGUAAGAGCCCACCAGCUCCGGGGGUAACUCCGGAGGCUCGGCAAACCCCGCCCGGAGCAAGGCCAAGCAGGGGGAGUCUCGGCGCCAGCCGGGACGACGGGUGGCCCGCCCGCCCCCGGGUAGGCCGCUAGAGCCCGCGGGUGACCGCGCGGCCCAGAGAGAUGGCCGUCGUCCCGAUGCGAAUCGGGAUACAGAAUCCGGCUUACAGGCCCGCUUCCUGA
This 400-nucleotide RNase P RNA is filed under the name Bacillota bacterium. Its description in RNAcentral is "Firmicutes bacterium (sediment metagenome) RNase P RNA component class A". It matches the Rfam family "Bacterial RNase P class A". Rfam says of the family: Ribonuclease P (RNase P) is a ubiquitous endoribonuclease, found in archaea, bacteria and eukarya as well as chloroplasts and mitochondria. Its best characterised activity is the generation of mature 5'-ends of tRNAs by cleaving the 5'-leader elements of precursor-tRNAs. Lineage: Bacteria; Bacillati; Bacillota. The record is from RNAcentral.